ACAGAGCCGACCAUCUCCCACUCGAGCUGCCCCCGCCCUCUGGACCCGAGUGACUCAGGCCUUUGUUUGUCCUUCCUGGUAGAGGCGGGUUCCCUCCCUCGGCAAGAUGCCGGAGUGCUGGGAUGGGGAACAUGACAUCGAGACACCCUACGGCCUUCUGCAUGUAGUGAUCCGGGGCUCCCCCAAGGGGAACCGCCCAGCCAUCCUCACCUACCAUGAUGUGGGCCUCAACCGUAAGUGCAGCCCAGCCUCAGUCAGCCCUCCUCUGCCUCCAAUCAGCCAGAGCGGUGAGGCCCCCCACCCUCCCCACAGGGCCCUGUCAACCCCACUCACACUUACCUCUGUUGCCUUCGCCCUCCGGGCCUCCAUUUCCCCGAUGGACCCAAGGCUGACACUUCUGCCUUGCCUGCCCUCUGGGGGCCCGGCCUUCCUUCCAGUCCCCCGGCCCCUCUGCUCAGCCAUAGUGGAAGUGUGUCUUUGCAGACAAACUAUGCUUCAACACCUUCUUCAACUUCGAGGACAUGCAGGAGAUCACCAAGCACUUUGUGGUGUGUCACGUGGAUGCCCCUGGACAACAGGUGGGGGCGUC
RNAcentral lists this small RNA (589 nucleotides) under Pan troglodytes (chimpanzee). RNAcentral describes it as "processed transcript". Lineage: Eukaryota; Metazoa; Chordata; Mammalia; Primates; Hominidae. The record is from RNAcentral.